RNAcentral lists this long non-coding RNA (247 nucleotides) under Carica papaya (papaya). RNAcentral's name for it is "long non-coding RNA (CPAP_LNC007001)". Lineage: Eukaryota; Viridiplantae; Streptophyta; Magnoliopsida; Brassicales; Caricaceae. The record is from RNAcentral.
CCCCUAGAAUUAGAAUAAAAAUGGAGGCUUUUGUUAUGCAAGGGUACUCUUAAAGACUUUCUUUCACGCGCGUCAUUCCCUAUGGAUUAAGAAGGAAGAAUGGAGGUUUAUAUCAUGUAAGGGCGCUUCUGAAGACUUCCCUUCAUGUGCAAUAUUCUCCCAUAAAUUGGAAUGACAAAGGGAGGCUUCUAUUACGCAAUAGUUCUCCCAAAGACUUCCCUUCACGCAUGACAUUCUUUGUGGAUUU